CGGGAGGGCAGCGCUCGGAGCAAACGCUGCCGGAUUUCCGAGGCACCGGCGUUUCGGUUUCGAUUCCCGGGAGUGGUUUGAGGCUGGAAGAGUUGAUGAAGAUGCUUAAACUAAAUCUUACUCCACUACUAGGAGAGCCCCUUCUACACUAGUGAAAUGGGUCCUUUUGUUAUAGCACAGCUAUUGCAAUAUUGAGCUUUAAGAGAGAAACUCAAAGGCUGCUGUCAGCAGAUACAAGCAAAGCUGGAUCGAAGCAAAUUUGGUGUCUGGUGUUCAAAGUAUGGGAAGAGCAAGUGAAAAUGAGGAAGCUGCUGCUUGGGAAUCCAUUAUCAAACAAAUGGGUUGACCAUCCUCCUGCCACUGAAAAUGAAGUGAAACAACUAAAGUUCUGGCAGCAGGAAUGGUCUGCAGUGCAGAACGAAGGAGGCAUCACAUGCAACUACCACAGCUAGUACCAUUUCCCUGUAAAUGAUUACCUGCUUGAACAACUAACAUUAGUGCCCUGUACAUAAUUCAUUUUGACUCAGAUCUGGUGCCUCUCCUACGGUGAAGUCAAAAGAAGUGAACUCAGAAAGGACAAAGAAGAAUCUCUGCUGGAUGCUGUGGUUUUAUGGAAUGAGGAUGUGCAGUGGAGAAAGUCUCCCAGUAUAUUUACAGACUGAUUUAAUGUCCAGAGUGGUUCCAGACCCCUGGUCUUAAAUGAACACGUGAUGAAUGGAGUUAAAACUUCACACACAGAUGAGAUAAAUGCCCAGAGACAAGCACCAGUGAGUUCAGGACACAAGGCACCAGGAAUCAUCAUUUGACACUUAGAAAUACCAUGGCAUUACUCUGUGGCUGGAAGUCAAUGAGUCAGCACAGAGCUGUGUGGUGGCGUGCAUCUCAAAGCUGUGUCUGUGCAGCUUCCUGAGAACAAGGAAGAAGUUCUCCAGAGAGUGUGUAGGUCAUGUAGAAGGAGCUGGAGGAGAGAUGUAUGGCUUCAUGGAGGACUGCCAAGAGGAAAUCAUGGUUCUCAAAGACAUCCUGCUAUUGCUGAAGUACAUCUCACACAGGUGACUGCAGAAAGGCUCAAAGUAGAAAGAGCAUUUUGAAAGGGUCUGUGGUCCUUACAGCUGCUUGUCAAACACCUGAAGCAGAGUGCAGCAUUUUGACGCCAUGACAAUAUUUGCCUCAGUUAUCCCUAAACUUUUUAAGCCACUAGAUCACUUCCAGCAUAAUGAUCUCAAGGACCCAGAGGUUGAAAUAAAAUACAACUCCAUCUUAUUGCUAGCAACCCAGUGCUCUGUUGUCUAUGCUAGAAGAUGACACUGCUGUCCGGGAGGUGUCUGGACCAGGGCAGGGGACCUCUAUCCAAGAACGGGAUGCAUCUUCCUAGACUACAGUCUGAACGUACACAAAACAAACCAGGAAUUAGGUUCUUCCAGAAAAAAGAAAAAAGAAGUUAAAUUAAAACAAAGCCAUCUCUUUUUGCAUUGCUUUUUAAAUGUAGAUGUGGGAAACUCCAGACCAAUGGACUAUCUUAUCAGCCUCUUCAGCAAUCCUUCUCCAAGGGAGGGAAGGUCAUUCUCAAAGGCUUAUCUGUAACAGAGGGUAGGCAUGCUGUUUUGGAGCUGAAGAGCCUGCUUCUGAGAGCAACCUUUGAGGUACAUUUUCUAAAGAGAAAUUUAUUGAUCAGAGACUCCCAUUUAUGCCUAAGGAUAAGAGCUCAAGAGCUCUUGCUUACAACCACAAGUCCCAAACUGAAGACAUGCUAGAGAAUCAAUCAGUUCUAUGCAUUGACUUAUUCUUUCACCCAUGCAGGAAUCCCCUGCUGCUUUUUUGCCUUGAUGUAUGCAAAGGCCUAUCUUCCUACAAGGAUAUUGCCAUUGUUGACACCUUUCUGUAGCCAGCAAUGCCUUUGUGCCACUCUGCUCUGUGAUCACACUGAGGAAGUCUCUCUGGGUAGCCUGGCAAAGGAAUUGGAUGAACACUGGAGCUUUGAAAAGAGCUGGACAAAAGAUAAUCUGGGACCCCACAGCUGGACUUUUCUCUGGAACUUGGUUAGGUCUCUGAAGGAAGAAGUAGACAGGGAUCAAGAGGAAGCUGUGAUUUGACUACAUGCUUGGUAAAGGCCAAAGAAGAAGGGACAGGGGCCCUUGCAUGACCUCCAAUGCCACAUUGCAUAGGGCUCUUGGGCUGCCCUGAGCCAAGGGCCCCAGCUGGGUGUCAGACAUGGGGUAAACUGGACUGGUUUUCCUCUCUCAAGGAACAACCCCUGAAAAACCCUUCUAUCCGCAGUGAUCCUCAGCAUGGCCUUUGGCCAACAGCCAAAGUCCGAGAGGCAUUUUGUUAUGGGGCUUAAGAACUUGCUUCCCAUCUCCUUUUCCCAAAUGCCCAGCAGAACUCCUCAGCAUUGGCCAUACUCACCUCUUCAAUGGGCAUCUUUCCGAGUGGUGAUAUCACUGCAUCUCCCUGGAGAGUUCUCAAGGAUGGCUGGACCUCUGUCUUUUUCAAAAAAAGGCUGUGUGCAGUCUCCAAGACAAAUACCCAGAUUCCUGUGCCCCAACUCUGACACUCCUUCUCCAGGAGGGCUCAGAGCCACCUCUAUCACCUUCUAAAAGAGAGGAAAACUUGUCCUGGUCUUGGGGCAUAUGGUUGCAGGAGAUUGAUCCAUCCUCCUGGAAGAGAAAGGACUUCAUGGUGAAGAAGUAUGAUGUCACCUCCUGAACUGAGAACAGUCUUGAACACUGUCACUCCAGCUUGACAAAAGCCAUUUGUGACAAGCUUCAUCUUGUGCUCUUCCCAGUUGUCCUCAUGUGAGCAGAACAUAAAAGAGCCUAAAUAAAAAGGCAGUCUGCAAAGUAGAUUGGCCACUUCAAAUUCAGACUGUUUCACUUGACGUUGAGAGCAGAAACUGUGCCAGCAAUGCUCAACAUCAGUUUGGCCAGCCAAGGCAUUGAGGCUUCUGGAGUUGACAGAAGCAUCUUCUGGCACUGUCUGAUGCAGCUGCCUUGUGCUAUCUUGAUAUGAGCCUCCAACACAGCUAGAAAAGGGAAGGACUUCCAAAAGGAGAGAGGAUCAGGAUCUGGUUUUCUAGGAAUUAGGCUCUCUACUGAUGGGAGCUCCUUGCACUUCCCCUACAAGGAAUUUCAGGUUUUCACCUCUCAGAUCUCAUUUGUGUCUCCAAGCUAUGUUUCAUGCCUGAGCCUGGAGGACUGUAUGUUCACUGGACUAUGAAACAAUCUGUUCAAUCAUGAAUUUAGAUGCAUUCUUUUUAUUGCCUUGGACAAGCACUUGAAUUGCUGGUUCAUUUUUGCUAGUUACUUAAGAGGAAUAAUGGAAACCCCCAAAGGACACAGUUCAUAUUACAGUGUGCCUAGGCUGCAAGAACGCUGUCCCAGGUUACCUCUAGAAACUGUAAGAUGGCAGCAGAGAUCUACACCUGUUCUUGCCUUUACCUAUGCCUUCUUUGCCCUCACGCCUAAAGAUUUAAAAAGCUGAGCACAAUAUUCAGCUUUGGAGUAUAUAAAAUAUUUUGAUCCAACAACAUCAGCAUGUUAACUGUAGUUUUGCUUUUUAAGCUAGGUAUGCAAAACAAAACAGCUACUACACACUUUAAUAUAUUAGCACAGUAACGGCAUGUAAAUAAAAGCACAGCUCCUACUAUUUCAUGCGUUAAGAUACACAUUAAAUUCAGUCAUUCAUCAGAUAAAUAUUGUUGAACUUUCUUUGUAUCAUAGCUAGAAAUAGCAGCAGAGAGCUUUUAUCAACAGCAAACUGUUAGGCCUUCUUGCAAGCCUCAUUGAAUCAUCUAAAGCACCCCUGAAAAUUACUCGACAGUUAUAUCAAAUAGUCUCAAAGAAUGAUAGAUAUUUGGCCACUUCUAAAGCUAAGUUACUUCCUACCUACAUUGAGAAUAAAUUUUUAAGAUACAGAUUUUUUUUUGAGCUCUGCAUUUCCUAAGGGCAUCUUAAAUUACAACUCAACAAUGACUGCAAAGCUGAACUUUCAUGUUUGCACAAUAUAUUUGGCUUUCAGUGAAAAA
Cuculus canorus (common cuckoo) is the source of this 4024-nucleotide long non-coding RNA. RefSeq lists it as uncharacterized. The transcript is spliced from 7 exons. NCBI's taxonomy places the organism in Eukaryota, Metazoa, Chordata, Aves, Cuculiformes, Cuculidae. The record is from RefSeq and is a predicted model, not a curated record.